RNAcentral lists this small nucleolar RNA (126 nucleotides) under Dasypus novemcinctus (nine-banded armadillo). RNAcentral's name for it is "Small nucleolar RNA SNORD22 (ENSDNOG00000047649.1)". It matches the Rfam family "Small nucleolar RNA SNORD22". Rfam says of the family: U22 is a member of the C/D class of snoRNA which contain the C (UGAUGA) and D (CUGA) box motifs. U22 is encoded within the U22 snoRNA host gene (UHG) in mammals and has also been identified in Xenopus. The record is from RNAcentral. Lineage: Eukaryota; Metazoa; Chordata; Mammalia; Cingulata; Dasypodidae.
UCCCAGUGAGGGAACACUCACCUGUCUUACCUUCUGUCCUGAUCACAGAGCCUGUAAAGGGGAACCCACUGCGGCUGGCUGGGGGACAAGAGGAGAACGUGUUCCCAAUAGAACUGUCUGAGGGCU